ACUUUUCCAUGGCUCCAUCCCAACUCACCACUUAGAACUCCAUAAGCCACGAAGCAGGGUAAUCAUCCUUAUGAAAUUCAGAGAGAAUAAAGGCAAACAGCCUGGGGCCAGGCGGAUUCAUGUUGGGCACAGCUGCUAGACAACUGAAGUGAAGAGACCACAGGGCCCAGGAAGGAGUGAGCAGCUACCAAUUCAGGCAAGAAGUUGACGCUACAAAGCACUCUUGGCCCUUGAAAGAAAGGCAUCCAGGGAGUCCCGGAGGCCAUUACUCCCUUGGAAGGGAAGAGUCAUGAGACACAGAGACAAGGCCUAGGGGAGAAGUGAGAAGGUCUAGAUCUCCAUCCAACUCUCGCUGCACUCUUCAGGUGGAGUGAGGGACUGACUGAAUUUGUCUCCUCCCCCACAACGGUGUCACUCACCAUUGGAGCAGAAUCAGAGACAACUCCUGUGUGGAACCCUUUGUAGCACCAACUCCGAAGCAGAUCUACUCCUAGGACAAGAUUAGCAGGGGUGGGACUUAAGAGGGUGGAAUCAACUGGUCAAUUCUUGCCAGGGAGGCCCAUUUCUUGGUCUACUGAGAUUUAAUCACUCACUAAACAUGGCCUCCUGUGGGUAGGGAGGACACAUCACCUUUGA
This is a long non-coding RNA of Neofelis nebulosa (Clouded leopard), 636 nucleotides long. RefSeq lists it as uncharacterized. The record is from RefSeq and is a predicted model, not a curated record. Lineage: Eukaryota; Metazoa; Chordata; Mammalia; Carnivora; Felidae. The transcript has 2 exons.